Molecule: ribosomal RNA, 1454 nt
Filed under: uncultured bacterium
Lineage: Bacteria
Description: bacterial SSU rRNA
Rfam family: Bacterial small subunit ribosomal RNA
Source: RNAcentral
GAUGAACGCUAGCGGCAGGCUUAACACAUGCAAGUCGAGGGGCAUCGGGAGGGAAGCUUGCUUUCCUUGCCGGCGACCGGCGCACGGGUGAGUAACACGUAUGCAACCUGCCCUCUUCAGGGGGACAACCUUCCGAAAGGGAGGCUAAUCCCGCGUAUAUCGGUUUCGGGCAUCCGGGAUCGAGGAAAGAUUCAUCGGAAGAGGAUGGGCAUGCGGCGCAUUAGCUUGACGGCGGGGUAAUGGCCCACCGUGGCGACGAUGCGUAGGGGUUCUGAGAGGAAGGUCCCCCACACUGGUACUGAGACACGGACCAGACUCCUACGGGAGGCGGCAGUGAGGAAUAUUGGUCAAUGGGAGAGAUCCUGAACCAGCCAAGCCGCGUGAGGGAAGACGGCCCUAUGGGUUGUAAACCUCUUUUGUCGGAGAACAAAACCCGGGACGAGUCCCGGACUGCGUGUAUCCGAAGAAAAAGCAUCGGCUAACUCCGUGCCAGCAGCCGCGGUAAUACGGAGGAUGCGAGCGUUAUCCGGAUUUAUUGGGUUUAAAGGGUGCGUAGGCGGUCCGUUAAGUCAGCGGUAAAAUUGCGGGGCUCAACCCCGUCGAGCCGUUGAAACUGGCAGACUUGAGUUGGCGAGAAGUACGCGGAAUGCGCGGUGUAGCGGUGAAAUGCAUAGAUAUCGCGCAGAACUCCGAUUGCGAAGGCAGCGUACCGGCGCCACACUGACGCUGAGGCACGAAAGCGUGGGGAUCGAACAGGAUUAGAUACCCUGGUAGUCCACGCAGUAAACGAUGAAUGCUGGUUGUCCGGGUCGAAUGAGAUCUGGGCGGCGAAGCGAAAGCGAUAAGCAUUUCCACCUGGGGGAGUACGCCGGCAACGGUGAAACUCAAAGGAAUUGACGGGGGCCCGCACAAGCGGAGGAACAUGUGGUUUAAUUCGAUGAUACGCGAGGAACCUUACCCGGGCUCAAACGGGAGUGGAAUGGACCAGAGACGGUUCAGCCUACGGGCCGCUUCCGAGGUGCUGCAUGGUUGUCGUCAGCUCGUGCCGUGAGGUGUCGGCUUAAGUGCCAUAACGAGCGCAACCCCCGCCGGCAGUUGCUAACGGGCAAUGCCGAGGACUCUGCCGGGACUGCCGCCGCAAGGCGUGAGGAAGGCGGGGAUGACGUCAAAUCAGCACGGCCCUUACGUCCGGGGCGACACACGUGUUACAAUGGGCGGUACAACGGGAAGCCAGGCGGCGACGCCGAGCGGAACCCGAAAGCCGUUCUCAGUUCGGAUCGGAGUCUGCAACCCGACUCCGUGAAGCUGGAUUCGCUAGUAAUCGCGCAUCAGCCAUGGCGCGGUGAAUACGUUCCCGGGCCUUGUACACACCGCCCGUCAAGCCAUGGGAGCCGGGGGUGCUUGAAGUGCGUCGCCGUGAGGCGCGCCCUAGAGCAAAACCGGUGACUGGGGCU